GUGGGGAAUCUUGCGCAAUGGCCGAAAGGCUGACGCAGCGACGCCGCGUGGAGGAUGACGCCCUUCGGGGUGUAAACUCCUGUCGCCUGGGAAGAACAUCGGAUUUCGAUCCGACUGACGGUACCAGGAGAGGAAGCACCGGCUAACUCUGUGCCAGCAGCCGCGGUAAUACAGAGGGUGCGAGCGUUGUCCGGAAUCACUGGGCGUAAAGGGCGCGUAGGUGGCUUCCAACGCGUGCGGUGAAAGCCCGGGGCUCAACUCCGGGUCGGCCGUGCGAACGGGGAAGCUUGAGUCAGGUAGAGGCUGAUGGAAUUCCGGGUGUAGCGGUGGAAUGCGUAGAGAUCCGGAAGAACACCGGUGGCGAAGGCGGUCAGCUGGGCCUGAACUGACACUGAGGCGCGACAGCGUGGGGAGCAAACAGGAUUAGAAACCCCAGUAGUCC
Molecule: ribosomal RNA, 442 nt
Filed under: uncultured bacterium
Lineage: Bacteria
Description: bacterial SSU rRNA
Rfam family: Bacterial small subunit ribosomal RNA
Source: RNAcentral